RNAcentral lists this unclassified non-coding RNA (944 nucleotides) under Hevea brasiliensis (rubber tree). Lineage: Eukaryota; Viridiplantae; Streptophyta; Magnoliopsida; Malpighiales; Euphorbiaceae. The record is from RNAcentral.
CUCUCUGUCUGCGUCUCUCGGAUAGGAAAAGGAAAGAACGCGUUUUCUUGGAAAUGAAAACACCAAGAACGAGAAACUUGUAAGCCGUGUUGAUCUUUCUCAUUCUUCUGAAUCUUUGUAUUUCCAUUUCAAUUACACAUUUUACAUUUGCGCCCCUUUAAUUGCUUUCCUCAUUCUUGCUACCAAUCUCUUCACUUCCUUCCACUUCAAAUGCCAAUAAAUGUUAUAUAACAACCAUUAAUAGUCUGUAUAUCGCUUUCACCCAUCAAUUGAACCCAUCUUCUGUUUAAUCGGCAUUCAAUAAUCACAAUGGGUCGUUUCUGGACGCUCCCUGUUGUUUUGUUCAUUUUGUUUUCCGUUCUUUAUGCUCCUCUCUGCCUCGGGAUUCGUUCUAUACCGGGGAGGGAUUUGAACGCUGGUGAUGGUUUUGAAAUGGUUGGGCUCCGAUUCGCAGAGGCGCCGGACUACCGUAAUGGGAUGGAAUGCCCGGUGUCAGGCAAUGGGCAGUUUGUGUCUUCUUGUGACCCUUCUUUGGUUCACGUAGCCGUGACACUGGACUCGGAGUAUCUUCGCGGGUCAAUCGCCGCUGUACACUCCGUUCUAAAACACGCUUCCUGCCCUGAAAACGUGUUCUUCCAUUUUAUUGCGGCGGAGUUCGAUCCGGCGAGUCCGCGAGUUCUGAGCCAACUCGUUCGAUCCACUUUCCCUUCACUCCGUUUCAAGGUUUAUAUAUUCAGAGAAGACACCGUAAUCAAUCUAAUCUCUUCAUCAAUUCGUCAAGCCCUAGAAAACCCAUUAAAUUACGCAAGAAACUAUCUCGGGGAUAUCCUAGAUCCCUGCGUUGACCGAGUCAUCUACCUCGACUCCGAUGUGGUUGUUGUGGACGAUAUAUACAAGCUUUGGAAUACAACCCUUGCUGGGUCAAGAAUCAUUGGCGCACCUGA